AACGGUAACAGGANGUGCUUGCACNUCGCUGACGAGUGGCGGACGGGUGAGUAAUGCUUGGGAACUUGCCUUUGCGAGGGGGAUAACAGUUGGAAACGACUGCUAAUACCGCAUAAUGUCUUCGGACCAAACGGGGCUUAGGCUCCGGCGCAAAGAGAGGCCCAAGUGAAAAUUANCUAGUUGGUAAGGUAAAGGCUUACCAAGGCAACGAUCUCUAGCUGUUCUGAGAGGAAGAUCAGCCACACUGGAACUGAGACACGGUCCAGACUCCUACGGGAGGCAGCAGUGGGGAAUAUUGCACAAUGGGGGAAACCCUGAUGCAGCCAUGCCGCGUGUGUGAAGAAGGCCUUCGGGUUGUAAAGCACUUUCAGUUGUGAGGAAAAGUUAGUAGUUAAUACCUGCUAGCCGUGACGUUAACAACAGAAGAAGCACCGGCUAACUCCGUGCCAGCAGCCGCGGUAAUACGGAGGGUGCGAGCGUUAAUCGGAAUUACUGGGCGUAAAGCGCACGCAGGCGGUUUGUUAAGCUAGAUGUGAAAGCCCCGGGCUCAACCUGGGANGGUCAUUUAGAACUGGCAGACUAGAGUCUUGGANNNGGGNNNNNGNAAUUCCAGGUGUAGCGGUGAAAUGCGUAGAUAUCUGGAGGAACAUCAGUGGCGAAGGCGACUCCCUGGCCAAAGACUGACGCUCAUGUGCGAAAGUGUGGGUAGCGAACAGGAUUAGAUACCCUGGUAGUCCACACCGUNNNGCUGUCUAC
Molecule: ribosomal RNA, 756 nt
Filed under: gamma proteobacterium SY055
Lineage: Bacteria; Pseudomonadati; Pseudomonadota; Gammaproteobacteria
Description: partial 16S ribosomal RNA
Rfam family: Bacterial small subunit ribosomal RNA
Source: RNAcentral